RNAcentral lists this long non-coding RNA (1162 nucleotides) under Homo sapiens (human). RNAcentral describes it as "long intergenic non-protein coding RNA 3133". Lineage: Eukaryota; Metazoa; Chordata; Mammalia; Primates; Hominidae. The record is from RNAcentral.
GUGGCCUUCUUGUCCCAACCUCAGGCCUCCACAUGUGACUUCUGCACCUCAUCUCUGGGAUGGUUUCAGUGGGUCCUAGAUUGCUUUCUGUGCUCCCUGGGACAGUUGGUGGCACUCUGUGAGACUACUCUGAGACCAGUCCUUUCCAUCAUGGGCUCCUGUGGAAAAUGACCCCAGCUCAGCUCAGUAGUUGAUGGGACAUCUGAUUCAGGUUGGACCCAGCCCAGACAUCUGAUUCAAACAAUAUUCUUCUCCAGGAAUUUUGUAACCAGCACUGGUAAAGGGAGGGAAGUGCUCCCCAGUGGGGAGAGCUGCAGAAUGUGAGACUUGGAAACCAAAGGCCGCCAUGUUUUCUGUCUCAUGAUGGAAUCCAAUCUUCUUUGGCGGGGAAAAUAAAUGAAGCCAACACCAGACAACAUAUAUCAAGCAGGGGCCAUUGCUCCAGCCUGACUCCAGGAAUCAGCAGACAGCGCAGCCUCAUUCUCCACCUGCUCCCUGCAGUACAGCCUCAGAACCACACAGUUGCAGCCAACCAGCUCCUGACAUGGAACUUGAGCAACAAAUGCCCUUUGUUUUUGCAAGUCCCUGAGAUUUGGAAGUUGUUACACAGCAUUCUCUCAGCCAGAAGUGACUGACAUGGUAUCAUUGCAGUCUUGAUCAAUUUGCCCUAUGCAAAGUGUUUUUAUAUGCCAUGAAUUUCUGAAGAUAGAACUACUGUUAUUCCCCAUGCAGCAGCUGAGGAAACUGAGUCUUAGAAUGUAUAAACAACUUUCCCAAGGCUACUGAAAGUGAUGGGAAUCAAAUAUAUCUUUGCCUAACUCCAGAUCCCAUGCUUUUGAAGAUAUUUAUACUGCCUAAAGCUGUAACAGACUUUUCUAAUAGUCAUACAUGGCAUAUUUAGUUGCUCUCCAUGGGGAAAUAAUGACCUGACAUGGAAAAUAUUGGUGUACUUUAUUAUGAGAUUCUAAUAAGCAACCAUUAUACAUGUAUAUAAUAUAUACAUGCAACCUCUUAAGCUUAUGCCAUUCUGUAUGGAUGUUACUAGCUUGAAGAAAUUCUAAAGAGUAGGGAUAUUAAAAAUACUGAGCCAAUAAAGUAGGAUAAUUUUUUUAUUGUAGUCAAUUUUCAUUUAUAAUAUUAAAUUCUUGCACUCCCUUUCAAA